Molecule: ribosomal RNA, 468 nt
Filed under: uncultured bacterium
Lineage: Bacteria
Description: partial 16S ribosomal RNA
Rfam family: Bacterial small subunit ribosomal RNA
Source: RNAcentral
GACGAACGCUGGCGGCGUGCUUAACACAUGCAAGUCGAACGGAAAGGCCCUGCUUUUGUGGGGUGCUCGAGUGGCGAACGGGUGAGUAACACGUGAGUAACCUGCCCUUGACUUUGGGAUAACUUCAGGAAACUGGGGCUAAUACCGGAUAGGAGCUCCUGCUGCCUGGUGGGGGUUGGAAAGUUUCGGCGGUUGGGGAUGGACUCGCGGCUUAUCAGCUUGUUGGUGGGGUAGUGGCUUACCAAGGCUUUGACGGGUAGCCGGCCUGAGAGGGUGACCGGCCGCAUUGGGACUGCGAUGCGGCCCAGACGCCUACUGGAGGCAGAAGUGGGGAAUAUUGCACAAUGGGCGGAAGCCUGAUGCAGCAACGCCGCGUGCGGGAUGACGGCCUUCGGGUUGUAAACCGCUUUCGCCGGGGACGAAGCGUGAGUGACGGUAAUGUGUAAAGAAGCACCGGCUAACUACGUG